CAGCCGCCACGGUAAUACGUAGGGUGCAAGCGUUAAUCGGAAUUAUUGGGCGUAAAGCGAGCGCAGGCGGUUAGAUAAGUCUGAAGUUAAAGGCUGUGGCUUAACCAUAGUACGCUUUGGAAACUGUUUAACUUGAGUGCAGAAGGGGAGAGUGGAAUUCCAUGUGUAGCGGUGAAAUGCGUAGAUAUUGGGAAGAACACCAGUGGCGAAGGCGGCUUUCUGGACUGCAACUGACGCUGAGGCUCGAAAACCAGGGGAGCGAACGGGAUUAGAUACCCGCGUAGUCCCUGUCUCUUAUACA
RNAcentral lists this ribosomal RNA (301 nucleotides) under uncultured bacterium. RNAcentral describes it as "partial 16S ribosomal RNA". It matches the Rfam family "Bacterial small subunit ribosomal RNA", at positions 509 to 808 of the family's 1533-position model. The record is from RNAcentral.